GAUGAACGCUGGCGGCGUGCCUAAUACAUGCAAGUCGAGCGAACGGACGAGAAGCUUGCUUCUCUGAUGUUAGCGGCGGACGGGUGAGUAACACGUGGAUAACCUACCUAUAAGACUGGGAUAACUUCGGGAAACCGGAGCUACUACCGGAUGAUAUUUUGAACCGCAUGGUUCAACAGUGAAAGACGGUCUUGCUGUCACUUAUAGAUGGAUCCGCGCUGCAUUAGCUAGUUGGUAAGGUAACGGCUUACCAAGGCAACGAUGCAUAGCCGACCUGAGAGGGUGAUCGGCCACACUGGAACUGAGACACGGUCCAGACUCCUACGGGAGGCAGCAGUAGGGAAUCUUCCGCAAUGGGCGAAAGCCUGACGGAGCAACGCCGCGUGAGUGAUGAAGGUCUUCGGAUCGUAAAACUCUGUUAUUAGGGAAGAACAUAUGUGUAAGUAACUGUGCACAUCUUGACGGUACCUAAUCAGAAAGCCACGGCUAACUACGUG
This 497-nucleotide ribosomal RNA is filed under the name uncultured bacterium. Its description in RNAcentral is "partial 16S ribosomal RNA". It matches the Rfam family "Bacterial small subunit ribosomal RNA", at positions 28 to 507 of the family's 1533-position model. The record is from RNAcentral.